Molecule: non-coding RNA, 255 nt
Organism: Camelina sativa (false flax)
Lineage: Eukaryota; Viridiplantae; Streptophyta; Magnoliopsida; Brassicales; Brassicaceae
Source: RefSeq, a predicted model, not a curated record
AAAUUCUGACUGUACAGCUAGGAGCUAUUAUCAUGUGGCAGUAUAUCAAACUCUUUCUUUCUAAUCGACAGUAUACAAGAACUCAAGGAUUCAAUUCUUCAAAACCAAGUAAAGCUUCUAGUGAUUGAUAGUAUGACAGCUCUUCUUUCAGGUGAAAACAAACAAGGAGCUCAGAGACAGCAUCAGUUGGGUUGGCAUAUUUCUUUCUUAAAAUCGCUUGCUGAAUUUUCUCGGAUUCCUAUAGUGGUGACUAAU